AACGAACGCUGGCGGCAGGCCUAACACAUGCAAGUCGAGCGAGGACUUCGGUUCUAGCGGCGGACGGGUGAGUAACGCGUGGGAAUAUGCCCUUCUCUACGGAAUAGUCCUGGGAAACUGGGGGUAAUACCGUAUACGCCCUUUGGGGGAAAGAUUUAUCGGGGAAGGAUUAGCCCGCGUUGGAUUAGGUAGUUGGUGGGGUAAUGGCCUACCAAGCCGACGAUCCAUAGCUGGUUUGAGAGGAUGAUCAGCCACACUGGGACUGAGACACGGCCCAGACUCCUACGGGAGGCAGCAGUGGGGAAUCUUAGACAAUGGGGGCAACCCUGAUCUAGCCAUGCCGCGUGAGUGAUGAAGGCCUUAGGGUUGUAAAGCUCUUUCAGCUGGGAAGAUAAUGACGGUACCAGCAGAAGAAGCCCCGGCUAACUCCGUG
RNAcentral lists this ribosomal RNA (433 nucleotides) under uncultured bacterium. RNAcentral describes it as "partial 16S ribosomal RNA". It matches the Rfam family "Bacterial small subunit ribosomal RNA", at positions 29 to 507 of the family's 1533-position model. The record is from RNAcentral.